Molecule: RNA transcript, 1033 nt
Organism: Harpegnathos saltator (Jerdon's jumping ant)
Lineage: Eukaryota; Metazoa; Arthropoda; Insecta; Hymenoptera; Formicidae
Gene name: 60S ribosomal protein L10a-like
Exons: 5
Source: RefSeq, a predicted model, not a curated record
UGCAUGCAAAUGCAAUCGUUUCGCCAUAGGCAAGCUUGUUGAACUUUUAUUAUUGACGAGAACAUAUUAUUUUUGGCUAGAAGUUACUUUCAGUGCGACAUAACGAUCAACGUAUAUAGUCACGUGCAUCAAAAACAGAGUCCAAGAUUUCCCGCGAUACCCAGUAUGAGUGCGUAAAUGCAGUCAUACAACAAUUCCAAGACAAGAAAAGGAAGUUUUUGGAGACAGUGGAGCUUCAAAUCGGAUUGAAGAACUAUGACCCACAAAAAGACAAGUGGUUUUCAGGGUCUAUAAAAUAGUUUUCACCUGAUUUUGAGUCUUUUUCUCAGUUUCUCGGAGUGAGGAUAUUACAGAUAUUAUAUCUCUCACUGAGAAUCCUGUUAAAAAUGCUUCAUGAUUCAGGGAGCUGGGUGGACCUGCACCCAGGGUCUUAAAUAAAUAUUUAUACCAUUAUUUAAAUUAUAUAGGAUCACAACUCAUGAUCCUAUUGGUUGAAAAACAUUCCCAAGCCUAAGAUGCAGGUUUGUGUUCUUGGAGAUCAACAACACUGUGAUGAAGUUAAGGUUAAUAAUAUUCUAUAUAUGGAUGCAGAGGUGCUCAAAAAACUAAACAAAAAUAAGAAACUUGUAAAGAAGUUUGCAAAGAAAUGACAUGUUUCUGGCCAGCGAGUUGUUGAUCAAACAGAUCUCACGGCUGCUUGGCUCCGGUUUGAACAAGGCUGGUAAAUUCCCUGAAUUAUUGUAGCACCAGGAGUCAAUGGUUGGCAAAAUCGAUGAAGUCAAGGCCAUCAUUAAAUGAAAAGGUGUUGUGUCUGUUGGUGGCAGUCGGACACGUUGAGAUAACAUCCAAUGAGUUGGUGCAGAACGUGCACCUGUCGAUAAACUUUCUCAGUUCUCUGUUGAAGAAACACUGGCAGAAUGUCUGUUCGCUGCAUAUCAAAUCGUCCAUGAGACAGUCACAGUGAUUAUAUUGAGUUACAUUUAGUGUAUAUGGUAAUAAAAAUGGAAGUCUUUGAAUUUUUUUUUUUUUAAUU